CCGUAAGUUUUAAAGGGCGCACGGUGGAUGCCUUGGCACAAGGAGCCGACGAAGGACGUGGGAGUCUGCGUUAAGCCUCGGGGAGUUGACAACCGAACUGUGAUCCGAGGAUGUCCGAAUGGGGAAACCCACCACGAGUCAUGUCGUGGUACCCGCUGCUGAAUGUAUAGGCAGUGUGGAGGGAACGCGGGGAAGUGAAACAUCUCAGUACCCGCAGGAAGAGAAAACAAAUAGUGAUUCCGUGAGUAGUGGCGAGCGAAAGCGGAGGAGGCUAAACCUGGUCUGUGUGAUACCCGGCAGGGGUUGCAGGUCAGGGGUUGUGGGACGUGUCUGCAGGGUCUGCCGGCCUUGCGACGUGGACGCGCAGUGGUAGUCGAAGCCGUGGUGAGUGCGGUGGCGUAGAGGGUGUGACCCCCGUAGACGAAACCAGUGCGCGGCGUGACGCUGUUCCCGAGUAGCACCGGGCCCGUGAAAUCCGGUGUGAAUCUGCCAGGACCACCUGGUAAGCCUGAAUACUACCUUGUGACCGAUAGCGGACAAGUACCGUGAGGGAAAGGUGAAAAGCACCCCGGGAGGGGAGUGAAAUAGUACCUGAAACCGUGCGCUUACAAUCCGUCGGAGCCUUGAGGGGUGACGGCGUGCCUUUUGAAGAAUGAGCCUGCGAGUUAGUGGUCGGUGGCGAGGUUAACCCGUGUGGGGUAGCCGUAGCGAAAGCGAGUCUGAACGGGGCGUUCAGUCGCCGGCUCUAGACCCGAAGCGAAGUGAUCUAUCCAUGGGCAGUGUGAAGCGCGGGUAAGACCGCGUGGAGGCGCGAACCCACUUCAGUUGAAAAUGGAGGGGAUGACCUGUGGAUAGGGGUGAAAGGCCAAUCAAACUUCGUGAUAGCUGGUUCUCCCCGAAAUGCAUUUAGGUGCAGCGUUGCGUGUUUCGUGCCGGAGGUAGAGCACUGGAUAGGCGAUGGGCCCCACCGGGUUACUGACCUUAGCCAAACUCCGAAUGCCGGUACGUGAGAGCGCAGCAGUGAGACUGUGGGGGAUAAGCUUCAUAGUCGAGAGGGAAACAGCCCAGAACAUCAGCUAAGGCCCCUAAGCGUGUGCUAAGUGGAAAAGGAUGUGGAGUUGCUGAGACAACCAGGAGGUUGGCUUAGAAGCAGCCACCCUUGAAAGAGUGCGUAAUAGCUCACUGGUCAAGUGAUUCUGCGCCGACAAUGUAGCGGGGCUCAAGCACACCGCCGAAGCUGUGUCACUCCAACGUGUGUUGGGGUGGGUAGGGGAGCGUCGUACAGCCGGUGAAGCCGCGGGGGAACCCAGUGGUGGAGGCUGUACGAGUGAGAAUGCAGGCAUGAGUAGCGAAAGACGGGUGAGAAACCCGUCCGCCGAUUGAUCAAGGGUUCCAGGGCCAGGUUUAUCCGCCCUGGGUUAGUCGGGACCUAAGGCGAGGCCGACAGGCGUAGUCGAUGGACAUCGGGUUGAUAUUCCCGAACCGAUCGUAGGAGGACCCAUACCGAGGCGAUUGAUGCUAACCACCCGAGCUGUCACCGCACCCUUCGGGGUGUGGAUGGUGGUGAGGCUGGGAACCAAGGUCGUAGUAGGUCAGCGCGUGGGAUGACGCAGAGAGGUAGCUUCCGCGGACUUAAUGGAAUAG
This 1644-nucleotide ribosomal RNA is filed under the name Salmonella enterica subsp. enterica serovar Enteritidis. RNAcentral's name for it is "partial 23S ribosomal RNA". It matches the Rfam family "Bacterial large subunit ribosomal RNA", at positions 1 to 1606 of the family's 2925-position model. The record is from RNAcentral. Lineage: Bacteria; Pseudomonadati; Pseudomonadota; Gammaproteobacteria; Enterobacterales; Enterobacteriaceae.